CUGUGGUACAAGUCAAAUCCUCAUCUACACAAUACUGAGGGGGUAAAGGGUUAUUUUUUCGUGCAACGUGAUCACUGUUUUUAUUACAGGUUCAACAUGUUUUUACUUUUUUAUUUGACGUUCAAUCCUGCAAGACAGAUGCCUCCUUCAACAUGUUCUGCUCAUUGAAAUUUACAUGCAUCAUGAUUUUCAAAUGUUUAUUUUGUGUGCUCUGUAUUUUUCAAAUAAAUUUCGAACACUUAAAGGGAAAGGGGAUGUCAAGAAAUACUAUUUCAAAAGCCGUAAACCAAUUAUAUAAAAAAUGUGUAUACAAUGUACUAAAUCUGGAAUAUCAAAUCAAACAGAGUGAGAGAGUUAAAAUAUAUGUUCACAUCAAAGUAUUUAUUUUUCGUGCAACCUUCAUGACAGAAAUUAUUUCACGUUUAACAUGAAAUUAAGUCUUAAUUCACGAUUAUUCCGUGCAAGCAACCUCCUUUACCACCCUCAAUACUG
Molecule: long non-coding RNA, 492 nt
Filed under: Mytilus galloprovincialis (Mediterranean mussel)
Lineage: Eukaryota; Metazoa; Mollusca; Bivalvia; Mytilida; Mytilidae
Source: RNAcentral